RNAcentral lists this long non-coding RNA (238 nucleotides) under Marmota monax (woodchuck). Lineage: Eukaryota; Metazoa; Chordata; Mammalia; Rodentia; Sciuridae. The record is from RNAcentral.
GGGGAGAUAAGUAAUAACAACAACCGUUGCAAACAAUAUACAGCAUUAAACCAAAUGGUUCCUACUAUGAUAUCUACAAUGUUAAUUAUCACAAUAAACAGAAAUGAUAUGAUUAGUUAUUGCCUACAAUAAAAACAGCAAUUUGCAAAAGGGUUUACAAUUUCAGAUGGUGAACAGGGAGAGAACAUAAGUGAUAUAGGAUAUGAUGAUUAAGAGAGAGGAGGACAGAAGACAGAAG